RNAcentral lists this long non-coding RNA (267 nucleotides) under Bos taurus (domestic cattle). RNAcentral describes it as "long non-coding RNA NONBTAT000011". Lineage: Eukaryota; Metazoa; Chordata; Mammalia; Artiodactyla; Bovidae. The record is from RNAcentral.
ACAGCUCUUUAGCAGAUAUGCUUCAUUUUUUUUUAAAACAAUAACACUUUUAAAAACACAUUAAACCAAGAUCAUACAUGUCUACAAUUUAAAAAAUCAGAUUGUAUACAAUAGAAGAGUCAAGUUAGAAUUGUCAUGUAUGGUUAACAAUCCUAAAUCUACAAUUUCAAUUGUAUUCCUUUCAAUAUGGAAGUUACCUGGUUUAUACCAAAUUCUACUUUCUGUUCACAACUAAAACAUUAUACAAUGAGAUGGACUUGGUAAGUC